Molecule: ribosomal RNA, 97 nt
Filed under: Vulpes vulpes (red fox)
Lineage: Eukaryota; Metazoa; Chordata; Mammalia; Carnivora; Canidae
Source: RNAcentral
GUCUACAGCCAUACAACCCUGAAUGUGCACCCAAUCUUGUCUGAUCUCGGAAGCUAAGCAGGGUCAGGCCUGGUAGAGAAAUGGUAACUGUGUGACA